RNAcentral lists this ribosomal RNA (698 nucleotides) under uncultured bacterium. Its description in RNAcentral is "bacterial SSU rRNA". It matches the Rfam family "Bacterial small subunit ribosomal RNA", at positions 32 to 715 of the family's 1533-position model. The record is from RNAcentral.
AACGCUAGCUACAGGCUUAACACAUGCAAGUCGAGGGGCAGCGGGGAGGAAAGCUUGCUUUUCUCUGCCGGCGACCGGCGCACGGGUGAGUAACACGUAUGCAACCUGCCCGGCACAGGGGGAUAAUCGGAAGAAAUUCCGUCUAAUACCGCGUAACACCUUCGGGAGACAUCUUUCGGGGGUCAAAGGAAGCAAUUCCGGUGUCGGAUGGGCAUGCGUCGCAUUAGCUAGUCGGCGGGGUAACGGCCCACCGAGGCGACGAUGCGUAGGGGUUCUGAGAGGAAGGUCCCCCACACUGGUACUGAGACACGGACCAGACUCCUACGGGAGGCAGCAGUGAGGAAUAUUGGUCAAUGGGCGAUAGCCUGAACCAGCCAAGUCGCGUGAGGGAAGACGGUCCUAUGGAUUGUAAACCUCUUUUGCCGGGGAGCAAAGGCGCCACGUGUGGCGAGCUGAGAGUACCCGGAGAAAAAGCAUCGGCUAACUCCGUGCCAGCAGCCGCGGUAAUACGGAGGAUGCGAGCGUUAUCCGGAUUUAUUGGGUUUAAAGGGUGCGUAGGCGGUCUGUCAAGUCAGCGGUCAAAUCGAGGGGCUCAACCCCUUUCCGCCGUUGAAACUGGUGGGCUUGAGUGGGCGAGAAGUAUGCGGAAUGCGAGGUGUAGCGGUGAAAUGCAUAGAUAUCACGAAGAACUCCGAUUG